RNAcentral lists this ribosomal RNA (242 nucleotides) under uncultured bacterium. Its description in RNAcentral is "partial 16S ribosomal RNA". It matches the Rfam family "Bacterial small subunit ribosomal RNA", at positions 92 to 334 of the family's 1533-position model. The record is from RNAcentral.
UUAGUGGCGGACGGGUGAGUAACGCGUGGGUAACCUGCCUCAUACAGGGGGAUAACAGUUAGAAAUGACUGCUAAUACCGCAUAAGACCACGGUACCGCAUGGUACAGUGGUAAAAACUCCGGUGGUAUGAGAUGGACCCGCGUCUGAUUAGGUAGUUGGUGGGGUAACGGCCUACCAAGCCGACGAUCAGUAGCCGACCUGAGAGGGUGAUCGGCCACAUUGGGACUGAGACACGGCCCAG